Molecule: non-coding RNA, 22 nt
Filed under: Arabidopsis thaliana (thale cress)
Lineage: Eukaryota; Viridiplantae; Streptophyta; Magnoliopsida; Brassicales; Brassicaceae
Source: RNAcentral
UCCGCAUUUGAUUUCAUCUGUC